AGUGAACGCUGGCGGUAGGCCUAACACAUGCAAGUCGAACGGCAGCACAGUAAGAGCUUGCUCUUACGGGUGGCGAGUGGCGGACGGGUGAGGAAUACAUCGGAAUCUACUUUUUCGUGGGGGAUAACGUAGGGAAACUUACGCUACUACCGCAUACGACCUACGGGUGAAAGCAGGGGAUCUUCGGACCUUGCGCGAUUGAAUGAGCCGAUGUCGGAUUAGCUAGUUGGCGGGGUAAAGGCCCACCAAGGCGACGAUCCGUAGCUGGUCUGAGAGGAUGAUCAGCCACACUGGAACUGAGACACGGUCCAGACUCCUACGGGAGGCAGCAGUGGGGAAUAUUGGACAAAGGGCGCAAGCCUGAUCCAGCCAUACCGCGUGGGUGAAGAAGGCCUUCGGGUUGUAAAGCCCUUUUGUUGGGAAAGAAAAGCAGCAGGUUAAUACCCCGCUGUUCUGACGGUACCCAAAGAAUAAGCACCGGCUAACUUCGUG
This 492-nucleotide ribosomal RNA is filed under the name uncultured bacterium. RNAcentral describes it as "partial 16S ribosomal RNA". It matches the Rfam family "Bacterial small subunit ribosomal RNA", at positions 29 to 507 of the family's 1533-position model. The record is from RNAcentral.